AGCAGUAGCCGCGGGAAUACGAAGGGUGCAAGCGUUACUCGGAAUUACUGGGCGUAAAGCGUGCGUAGGUGGUGGUUUAAGUCCGUUGUGAAAGCCCUGGGCUCAACCUGGGAAUUGCAGUGGAUACUGGGUCACUAGAGUGUGGUAGAGGAUAGUGGAAUUUCCGGUGUAGCAGUGAAAUGCGUAGAGAUCGGAAGGAACAUCUGUGGCGAAGGCGACUAUCUGGGCCAACACUGACACUGAGGCACGAAAGCGUGGGGAGCAAACAGGAUUAGAUACCCCCUAGUCCCUGUCUCUUAUACA
Molecule: ribosomal RNA, 303 nt
Filed under: uncultured bacterium
Lineage: Bacteria
Description: partial 16S ribosomal RNA
Rfam family: Bacterial small subunit ribosomal RNA
Source: RNAcentral